UGACAGCCACCGACCAUCACAGUUCUUCCAGAACUCAGGAUGAAGCUUCUCACCAGCCUCCUUUUGUGCUCCCUGACCCUGGGAGUCAGCAGCAGUUGGCUUUCAUUCGUCAAGGAGGCUUACCAAGCGAUGCAAGAGAGGGCUUACAGAGUUUCUUCGGCAGUGGACAUGAGGACACCAUGGCUGACCAGGAAGCCAACAGACAUGGCCGCAGCAGCAAGGAUCCUAAUCACUACAGACCUGCUGGCCUGCCUGACAAAUACUGAACAUCCUCCUAUUACCUCAGGAGGCUGUGCUGUGGGUCUGGGGACACAACCUGAGUUUUUCAGUCUUGUACCCACAGCAUUUAUUAGACUACACAUAAUAGGUGUGCAAUAAACACAUAUGCGAACAAA
This 395-nucleotide long non-coding RNA is filed under the name Rattus norvegicus (Norway rat). RNAcentral describes it as "long non-coding RNA NONRATT002687". The record is from RNAcentral. Lineage: Eukaryota; Metazoa; Chordata; Mammalia; Rodentia; Muridae.